AUGGCGCCAGCAGCGACCCCGUGCUCCCCGCGUCUCCUGCUCGCCUCGUCUGCGUCUCCGCCUCCGCUCUUCCGCGUCGCGGCCCGCCCCCUGCUGCUCGGUAGCCGCGGCGGGGGCGUGCGCCUUCGGGUUCGAUGCGGAGCGGCGGACGAGGAGGCCGAGGUUCGGCGUGGGGAGCAGGUGAAGGCGUCUGUGGAGGAGAUGGCGCCCGGCCUCGACCUUGUCACACUCGCGGCCUGCCUCGUGGGCCUCCUCACUGGCGUCUCCGUUGUCCUCUUCAAUCUUUCGGUUCAUGAAAUACGUGACCUGCUUUGGGAUGGCAUACCACUGCGAGGCGCUUCGUGGCUGAGGGAAGAACCCACCGCUGAAAUUUGGCAGAGAGUGAUAUUUGUUCCCGUCAGUGGAGGCAUCAUAGUUGGAGGGCUGAAUACGCUAAGAAGUUCUAUCAAAACAAACUCAGAUGGCUCUGUUUCUAAUAUGAAAGGUGUGUUUAGGCCAUUCUUGAAAGCUGCGGCGGCAUCUUUCACUCUCGGAACUGGCAACUCUCUGGGGCCUGAGGGACCCAGUGUGGAAAUAGGUUCUGCUAUAGCGAAAGGAUUUGGAAAUGUGUUUGGGUGGGAAGGCGGAAAAAAGCUGUCUCUUGUGGCAGCUGGGUCAGCAGCUGGCAUUGCAUCUGGUUUUAAUGCUGCUGUUGCUGGGUGUUUUUUUGCGGUGGAGUCUGUUUUGUGGCCUUCAUCUGGCGAUUCUUCAUCCCUUUCCAACUCAACACCUAUGGUGAUCCUCAGUGCAGUGAUAGCGUCUGUUGUUUCAGAGAUUGGUCUUGGUUCUGAUCCUGCUUUCACUGUUCCAGAAUAUGAUUUUCGCUCCCCAACAGAACUUCCUCUAUAUCUCUUGCUGGGCGUGUUCUGUGGAGCGGUGUCAAUCACCCUAUCUAGGUGUACAGCAGUAACUAUGGACAUGGUUGAACGCUUACAAAAGACAACAGGAUUGCCGAUGGCUGUAUCCCCUGCCUUAGGUGGCCUUAUUGUUGGUCUUCUCGCUCUUGUAUACCCUGAAGUUCUGUAUUGGGGCUUUGAGAAUGUUGAUAUUUUACUGGAAUCGCGGCCAUUUACAAGUGGUCUCUCAGCAGCAGUGUUGGUUCAGCUCAUUGGAGUAAAAAUAUUGGCGACGUCUUUGUGCAGGGCUUUUGGAUUGGUUGGAGGUUAUUAUGCACCAUCCCUUUUUAUUGGUGCAGCUACAGGCAUGGCAUAUGGCAAGUUCAUGAGGUUUACAUUUACUGGCUCUGAAGCACCGUUUCAUGUCCCCUUCCUAGACGUAGCGUCACCUCAAGCAUAUGGUCUGGUUGGUAUGGCAGCUACACUUGCCGGUGUAUGCAAGGUGCCUCUGACAUCUGUCCUCCUACUGUUUGAACUAACGCAGGACUAUCGUAUAGUUCUGCCUUUGCUUGGUGCUGUUGGACUAUCAUCUUGGAUUGCUUCUUCUCAAAGGUUCUCUACCAGCGGUAAGGGUAAGCUGGAUUCAUUGGAGGAGAAAACAAGCACCAUUGAAGAGGCGAAAAAUGUGCCCACUCAAACCCAACAACUCACUUCUGUGGAUAGUGUUGAUGCUACUGCAGAAUUAUGUAAACUAGAAAGCUCGCUUUGUGUCUAUGAUGUCAAAGAUGAUAACGUGCUGGAAAAUCUUACUGUUGCAGAGAGUAUGAAAACUAGAUAUAUUUCUGUCUCAUUGAAAACUCCAGUAGUUGAGGCACUAAAUCUUAUGCUUGUGGAGAAGCAACCAUUUGUUAUGAUAACUGAGAGCAAUAAGUCUUUAUUAGGCUUGCUAACAGUCAAAGAUUUCCAGGAUUUCUGCAAAACUGUAAAAAGUACCAGGAUGCAACCUGAGGUAGAUGAAUGUCUGGUAUCUCAUGUUUGUGGAGUCGUUAGAUGUAAAAUAUGGUCUGUGACACCUCAUAUGCCACUUACUACUGCUGAAAAGAUUAUGGAUUCUCAUGGAAUGGACCAGGUUCCUGUAGUUUCAGAACAUGUUAAUCAUCAGGAUGGAGGAAUCUUGAUUGGUUUUGUAGAUAGAGAAUGCAUCACCAUUGCUCGAAGAGCUUUGGCAGCAAAAGAAUUUUUCAGUUUCACAUCGGAGAUCAGAAGGGAAGAGAGUUGA
This 2154-nucleotide ribosomal RNA is filed under the name Triticum aestivum (bread wheat). Its description in RNAcentral is "partial small subunit ribosomal RNA". The record is from RNAcentral. Lineage: Eukaryota; Viridiplantae; Streptophyta; Magnoliopsida; Poales; Poaceae.